CAGCCGCCGCGGGAAUACGGAGGGUGCAAGCGUUAAUCGGAAUUACUGGGCGUAAAGCGCACGCAGGCGGUCUGUCAAGUCAGAUGUGAAAUCCCCGGGCUUAACCUGGGAACUGCAUUUGAAACUGGCAGGCUAGAGUCUUGUAGAGGGGGGUAGAAUUCCAGGUGUAGCGGUGAAAUGCGUAGAGAUCUGGAGGAAUACCGGUGGCGAAGGCGGCCCCCUGGACAAAGACUGACGCUCAGGUGCGAAAGCGUGGGGAGCAAACAGGAUUAGAUACCCCUGUAGUCCCUGUCUCUUAUAU
Molecule: ribosomal RNA, 301 nt
Filed under: uncultured bacterium
Lineage: Bacteria
Description: partial 16S ribosomal RNA
Rfam family: Bacterial small subunit ribosomal RNA
Source: RNAcentral